CGCGAGGUCACCGUACCCGGCCCCGCCCACCGGGACGUGGUUACCCGGUUUGGACCGCACCGACUUGAGCUCCCCGUUGGCGCCCCUGUCCGACUCGCCGACGUUCUUCUUGGAACGGGGCGAGACGCGGGUGUUGCCCGUUCGGGCAGAGGCGGGAAUCUCCAUGUUGGUGAAGCCGCUGAUGUUGGUGACGUCGCCGCUGAUGUUGGUGACGUCGCCGCUGUCGACGCGGACGAGGGCGGCGGUGAUGGAGGUGGGCGCGCCGCCGGAGAUGAGGUCGGGUACCUGCACGGCGAGGCCGUUGCCAGAUUUGCGCUUGUUUCGCGAGCUGGUCAGCUUCGCCGCCCUCUUGCGGCUUCCCGGGGAGAGCGAGCC
This 375-nucleotide long non-coding RNA is filed under the name Micromonas commoda. RNAcentral describes it as "long non-coding RNA (MCOM_LNC000406)". Lineage: Eukaryota; Viridiplantae; Chlorophyta; Mamiellophyceae; Mamiellales; Mamiellaceae. The record is from RNAcentral.